GAUGAACGCUGGCGGCGUGCCUAACACAUGCAAGUCGAGCGAACAGAUGAGGAGCUUGCUCCUCUGACGUUAGCGGCGGACGGGUGAGUAACACGUGGAUAACCUACCUAUAAGACUGGGAUAACUUCGGGAAACCGGAGCUAAUACCGGAUAAUAUAUUGAACCGCAUGGUUCAAUAGUGAAAGACGGUUUUGCUGUCACUUAUAGAUGGAUCCGCGCCGCAUUAGCUAGUUGGUAAGGUAACGGCUUACCAAGGCAACGAUGCGUAGCCGACCUGAGAGGGUGAUCGGCCACACUGGAACUGAGACACGGUCCAGACUCCUACGGGAGGCAGCAGUAGGGAAUCUUCCGCAAUGGGCGAAAGCCUGACGGAGCAACGCCGCGUGAGUGAUGAAGGUCUUCGGAUCGUAAAACUCUGUUAUUAGGGAAGAACAAAUGUGUAAGUAACUAUGCACGUCUUGACGGUACCUAAUCAGAAAGCCACGGCUAACUACGUG
This 497-nucleotide ribosomal RNA is filed under the name uncultured bacterium. Its description in RNAcentral is "partial 16S ribosomal RNA". It matches the Rfam family "Bacterial small subunit ribosomal RNA", at positions 28 to 507 of the family's 1533-position model. The record is from RNAcentral.